GAGCUCCUUCCUGCCAGGCGUGAAGUGCACCCUCCUGGUUACCUGCGACCUGUGCAUAUUGUACUGUGCGGGGCAGCAGAGACAACUGAGAUUUUAACUCGCUGGAAACAAAUUCAGGACCCUUUCUCUAAACGGUCCUGUUCAGAAGCUCGAAUGGAGCCUGGCCUGCUGUGUCCUGCCCUGAAACCCACCUCAUCCUGAGAACACCUCACGACUGCCCACUCCCCCUCCCCUGGUCAGGCUCCCUGCUGCCUUGGAGGGCUUGGCAGAAAGGACACCUGCUUGGACCCAGAGAAAGCCGGCCUCAGACCAGCGGCCUGUCCCCUUGCUGUGGUGCGCGAGGGCCUCGAGCCCAUUGCAGUGCGGGGAGGUUUGGCCCACUCCAGAAGAGGCUUUCACUUCCUUGUAAAAGAGGAACUCAACAAAGGAGCAGGACCAGGGACAUCAGGUUUGAGAAUGCAAGAGGGGAAAAGUGACAUAAUUUCAGAGUAAACCUUCCAUAUCUGGGGUGUCGGCUGGCAGUACCAUGCAGAGCAGCUUCACAAUUCUCUGACUUGGGAACUCCUGGCUGGGCCACCCAGUCUUCUCUUUCUUAACUGAUGGAGCAGCCAGGUGUUUGUGGAUGCUGCUCCACCGGGGCACAGCACAUAGCGUGUCUGAGCAUCCUCUUUGUCACUAACAGCCUCCACUCCUCUGCGUGGGGGGCGACCUUCAGUUGUGCCAUGGAGGAACAGAAGUGGGAGGAAGUUCAGCAGACACUUUCCUGAGUGCCGGCAGUGGGUGGGCCUCAGACCCCUACCUCCAGGCCCGCAGGUAGGUAACGCACCAGGCCUAGUGCUGAGUCUGUGCUGCCCGCCAGCCGCCGGCCACGUGUGAGCGCAGAGCCUCCCUGCCUCUCUGUCCUACAGACAAUGAGUCACUCACCCCUUCCUACAAAAACAUUGACUAGCAAAUUUGUUUUCCUGCUCUCCAAGAGGCUGUUUCACACCUUCUCUCUCUGCAAAGACCACCCACCACCACCACCACCCCGCCUCCCAGCCUGCCUUGAGGACUCUGCUGCUGAUGUCCCUGAGAGAGUGGAAGCAACCAGAUGAG
RNAcentral lists this long non-coding RNA (1095 nucleotides) under Equus caballus (horse). RNAcentral's name for it is "lncRNA (ENSECAG00000045454.1)". Lineage: Eukaryota; Metazoa; Chordata; Mammalia; Perissodactyla; Equidae. The record is from RNAcentral.